Molecule: non-coding RNA, 457 nt
Organism: Lupinus albus (white lupine)
Lineage: Eukaryota; Viridiplantae; Streptophyta; Magnoliopsida; Fabales; Fabaceae
Source: the annotation of a GenBank genome assembly
ACGACCUUACUUGAACAGGAUCUGUUCUAUAGGCUCGUACCAUUGUGUCCUUGAGUUCUAAGGAGACAAGAACCUAAGCCUGGUUGAUGAAUCAUGACCAUGUAAUCAGAGCGUGAUUAAUGGCUUUGAUGGUCUCUCUUCCGAGAGUGUCAUCUGUGGCAACAGAGGAUCGUUCUCAGACAGUGUUUGACACCGGCUGGGAUGGUUACACGGUUGUCUGACAGGCUCAAAACAUUUUGUUUAUUUUUCAUCCUACAAAACAGUGAAGUGUGGGAGCAAAGUAGAGGAGGGUUUUAGUGUUCAGCAAUUGCUACUUGAGGCAGAGGACUUGCCACGUAGCAACAGGAAAACCGAAUAGACUCCUUAACAAAGAUUUGCAUGUUGGGGAUGUAGCUCAGAUGGUAGAGCGCUCGCUUAGCAUGCGAGAGGUACGGGGAUCGAUACCCCGCAUCUCCAU